This 461-nucleotide ribosomal RNA is filed under the name Chaetoceros sp. RCC4208. Its description in RNAcentral is "partial small subunit ribosomal RNA". It matches the Rfam family "Eukaryotic small subunit ribosomal RNA", at positions 698 to 1165 of the family's 1831-position model. The record is from RNAcentral. Lineage: Eukaryota; Bacillariophyta; Thalassiosirophyceae; Chaetocerotales; Chaetocerotaceae.
UUCCCGAGAGGGCCCCUCUGGCAUUAUGUGGGCGGACCGCCAACCGCUCAUCUUUUACUGUGAAAAAAUAAAGGUGUUCAAAGCCAGUUUAUCCCGCUGAAUAUAUUAUCAUGGAAUAAUAAAAUAGGACCUCGUUAUUAUUUUUUUGGUUUGCGCACCAAGGUUUGAUGAACAGGGACAGCUGGGGGUAUUUGUAUUUCCUUUGCCAAGGUGAAAUUUUUAAAUUUCCGAAAAACAAACUCUUGCCAAAGCUUUUACCCAGGAUUUUUUCAUUGACCAAAAACAAAAUUAUGGGGAUCGAAAAUAACUAAAUACCAUCGUAUUCUAUACCAUAAACUAUGCCAACACAAGAUGGGCGGGUGUUAUUUUGACCUCGUCUGCCUGUAUGAGAAAUCAAAGUCUUUGGGUUCCGGGGGGAGUAUGGACGCAAGGCUGAAACUUCAAGAAAUUGACGGAAGGGC